RNAcentral lists this ribosomal RNA (412 nucleotides) under Novosphingobium sp. H3-78. Its description in RNAcentral is "bacterial SSU rRNA". It matches the Rfam family "Bacterial small subunit ribosomal RNA", at positions 22 to 460 of the family's 1533-position model. The record is from RNAcentral. Lineage: Bacteria; Pseudomonadati; Pseudomonadota; Alphaproteobacteria; Sphingomonadales; Sphingomonadaceae.
GCUCAGAACGAACGCUGGCGGCAUGCCUAACACAUGCAAGUCGAACGAAGCCUUCGGGCUUAGUGGCGCACGGGUGCGUAACGCGUGGGAAUCUGCCCUUGGGUUCGGAAUAACAGUUAGAAAUGACUGCUAAUACCGGAUGAAGUCUUCGGACCAAAGAUUUAUCGCCCAGGGAUGAGCCCGCGUAGGAUUAGGUAGUUGGUGGGGUAAGAGCCUACCAAGCCGACGAUCCUUAGCUGGUCUGAGAGGAUGAUCAGCCACACUGGGACUGAGACACGGCCCAGACUCCUACGGGAGGCAGCAGUGGGGAAUAUUGGACAAUGGGGGAAACCCUUGAUCCAGCAAUGCCGCGUGAGUGAUGAAGGCCUUAGGGUCGUAAAGCUCUUUUACCCCGGGAUGAUAAUACAGACCG